CCAGGGUGAGGUAGUAGGUUGUAUAGUUUGGUGGGUGGGACUCCACCCUUCAUAGGUGAUAACUAUACAGUCUAUUGCCUUCCCUGA
Molecule: non-coding RNA, 87 nt
Organism: Oryzias latipes (Japanese medaka)
Lineage: Eukaryota; Metazoa; Chordata; Actinopteri; Beloniformes; Adrianichthyidae
Source: Rfam